UACGGGGGGAGCAAGCGUUGUUCGGAUUUACUGGGCGUAAAGGGCGCGUAGGCGGCCUGUGCAAGUCAGUUGUGAAAUCUCCGGGCUUAACUCGGAAAGGUCAACUGAUACUGCUCGGCUAGAGUGCGGAAGGGGCAACUGGAAUUCUUGGUGUAGCGGUGAAAUGCGUAGAUAUCAAGAGGAACACCUGCGGCGAAGGCGGGUUGCUGGGCCGACACUGACGCUGAUGCGCGAAAGCCAGGGGAGCGAACGGG
This 254-nucleotide ribosomal RNA is filed under the name uncultured bacterium. RNAcentral's name for it is "partial 16S ribosomal RNA". It matches the Rfam family "Bacterial small subunit ribosomal RNA", at positions 524 to 776 of the family's 1533-position model. The record is from RNAcentral.